AGCCCUAAGUGGGUGGUAAACUCCAUCUAAGGCUAAAUAUGACCACGAGACCGAUAGCGAACAAGUACCGUGAGGGAAAGUUGAAAAGCACUUUGAAGAGAGAGUUCAAGAGUACGUGAAACCGUUUAGGGGUAAACCUGAGAAAUCCGAAAGGUCGAAGGGAGAAAUUCNUUCGCGUCUCGACGUAGACGUCGAUCGGUCGUGUGACGGAGGGCGUUCGCGCGUCUUUUCCGCUCCUUCCGAUCUGACGAUUCGACGACGAACGCGUGCACUUUUCUCCUNGUAGGACGUCGCGAUUCGUUGGGUGUCGGUCUACGGCUCGCGGUGGAGCCCGUUCGUACAAUUUUCCGUUGUACUGGCGGACCCGCGUGUCCCGGCUGACUCGCUCGACGGUAUACGAAAGGUUUAAGGCCGCUCUCUAGGAGCGUUCGACUNNCNGCAAGCGCGCUUGAUGCGUCGGUGAUCGGACCUCGUGCCGAUUCU
Molecule: ribosomal RNA, 483 nt
Filed under: Mecysolobini sp. CNC COL VG00010801
Lineage: Eukaryota; Metazoa; Arthropoda; Insecta; Coleoptera; Curculionidae
Description: partial 28S ribosomal RNA
Rfam family: Eukaryotic large subunit ribosomal RNA
Source: RNAcentral